This 324-nucleotide ribosomal RNA is filed under the name uncultured eukaryote. Its description in RNAcentral is "partial 18S ribosomal RNA". It matches the Rfam family "Eukaryotic small subunit ribosomal RNA", at positions 1470 to 1796 of the family's 1831-position model. The record is from RNAcentral.
CCCUUAGAUGUUCUGGGCUGCACGCGCGCUACACUGAAGCUAUCAACACGUUUUCCCUCCCUGAGAAGGGCGGGUAACCUUUUGAAUCAGCUUCGUGGUAGGGAUCGGGGCUUGCAAUUGUUCCCCGUGAACCAGGAAUUCCUAGUAGACGCGAGUUAUAAGCUCGCAUCGAUUAAGUCCCUGCCCUUUGUACACACCGCCCGUCGCUACUACCGAUUGAACGUUUUAGUGAGGCAUUUGGACCGACGCAUCUCAGUUUAACCGCUGGUUUGUGUUGGAAAGACUUCCAAACUUGAGCGUUUAGAGGAAGUAAAAGUCGUAACA